Molecule: long non-coding RNA, 1027 nt
Organism: Oncorhynchus nerka (sockeye salmon)
Lineage: Eukaryota; Metazoa; Chordata; Actinopteri; Salmoniformes; Salmonidae
Exons: 2
Source: RefSeq, a predicted model, not a curated record
GCCUUAACACUUGUUGGACUAUAGUUUAAAAAACGCCUUUUAUGGUGUCUGACGAAGUCGACAUGAAUCCAGUAAUUUGCGUCUUAUGCGUUUUGUUUUUUUAUCUACGAAAUUAAGUUGUUCCAUUACAUGGUAUGAUAGCUGAUACUUUGGUCUAUCAAAAUAUAUAUUUAAAAUAUUGUUGAUUGUUUAAUUCUAACAUUAGAUGAUUCAAAUAUGUAAUAAAAAACUCGAACUUAUAUUUAUUUUGUUUUAUAGUACUAUUAAAUGCUUCAGGGUUAACCCUAUUACAGUGGCUGAGUCACUGGCUUACUGGUGCUUUUCUAUGCCGUGCCUAGGAGGGGUGCGUCACUUGAGUGGGUUGAGUCACUGACGUGAUCUUCCUGUCUGGGUUGGCGCCUCCGCCUUGGGUUGUGCCGUGGCGGAGAUCUUUGUGGGCUAUACUCGGCCUUGUCUCAGGAUGGACCUGAGCCCUAGGACCAUGCCUCAUGACUACCUGGCAUGAUGACUCCUUGCUGUCCUCAGUCCACCUGGCCGUGCUGCUGCUCCAGUUUCAACUGUUCUGCCUGCGGCUAUGGAACCGUGACCUGUUCACUGGACGUGCUACCUGUCCCAGACCUUCUGUUUUCAACUCUCUAGAGACAGCAGGAGCGGUAGAGAUACUCUUAAUGAUCAGCUAUGAAAAGCCAACUGACAUUUACUCCUGAGGUGCUGACUUGUUGCACCCUCAACAACUACUGUGAUUAUUAUUAUUUGACCAUGCUGGUCAUUUAUGAACAUUUGAACAUCUUGGCCAUGUUCUGUUAUAAUCUCCACCCGGCACAGCCAGAAGAGGACUGCCCCCCCCCCAUAGCCUGGUUCCUCUCUAGGUUUCUUCCUAGGUUUUGGCCUUUCUAGGGAGUUUUUCCUAGCCACCGUGCUUCUACACCUGCAUUGCUUGCUGUUUGGGGUUUUAGGCUGUGUUUCUGUACAGCACUUUGAGAUAUCAGCUGAUGUAAGAAGGGCUAUAUAAAUACAUUUGAUUUGA